UUCCUCUUCUGAUUUUCUUCUUCUUCUACUUAUUCACCAUUGUCAAUUACCCUUCUUCACCACUGCAAUGAACCCCGGCACUAACAGCAACUACCAGGUCUGAAUUUGUCUUCCUCUUAUUAUUUGUUUUGCAGAUGGGGUCUCUUCCUCUUCUGAUUUUUUUCUUCUUUUUCUUCUUAUUCACCAUUGCAAUGAACCCUUCUUCACCACUGCAAUGAACCCCGGCACUAACAGCAACUACCAAGGUCUGGAUCGAGACUACCCAUGAACGCAUGCAAGUGUCAGAUCCUGGAUCGACAUUAUUCCGCACCCCUGCUCACCCCGCCACUAAAAUUUGUGAUGUUCUUCUCGUCUGUAUGGUCAUCGACGUCGUGUGGUGUUUUUCGAGGAGGAGGUAUUUUUUAUCGAAGGUGCCUCACAUACAUACACAGAGACCCAAAAAAGAAGAAACAUGAAAAAAAAGGGAAAAAGUGUUUGCUGAAGAGAAUGGCCUCAAAGGAGACCCACGACUUCCAACCAUUUGUCAAGCAUCAGAGUUGUUCCUUACUUCCCCAAAUAAGGUCUAUGGCUGUGGCUGUUUGGGUUCAUAAGAUGCUUAGAAAUCUGAAAAUGAUGGUGUGCCACACAAAAGAUCAAUGAAAAGACAUGCAUGAGACCAACUAUAAGCUAAUAGAAUAAAUCUAGCCAUAGAACAAAAAAGGUCAGUAAAUAAUCUUGUAUUUUUCUUAAUGUUGUUGAAACUUAUGGUUGAGCAGGACAUCAUUGAACUUUGUUAAUUGGAGGGAAUGAGUGAAGGAUUAUUGAUGAAUUUUUUUUAAUAGCUAAUUGGUGUUAAAAAUACAUUCAUGAAAAUACUCAUAUUUCUCUAAAAAGAGUUAUUUAAUGAUAAUAAUUAAACUUAUUUAACAGGGUAAAUAUGUAUGAUGUCAAUUUUUACUCAAUUUAAUGUCAAGUAUGGCAUACAUUGUCCUAUUUUAUGCAUCGAAUAGCUUGUAUUCACUCAUAGAUAUUGUUUGUAUGCUUACGGAGAAAAUGAUUGUGAAACUAAUGAAAAAAAUCAAGCAAAUAGAAUUCUAAGAAGACUAUUUAUAGCUCAAAAUAUGUUCAUACCACAUAGAAAAUAAUAUUAGCACUAUGGUUAGGACAACAAUAAAGAAAAAGUGAUUUUACUAAAAUUGAGUGAGAAAAUUUGUAUUAAAAAUUUGAAUGCCUCUGGAAAUAGUUGUGAUAAAUAUAACAUGUGCUUGUAUAAUAAGAAAACUGUCAGAAUUCUUUCUAAAGAGUUCAUUAAUGAGAAGAAUCAAAUCUCCUUAUUUAUGAGUGAAGGGUGUUUUCUUAUAUGGUAACUGGGUUGAUUUUAAUAGUUAAUUCAUGUCUUCAUGAAAAGUCCUAGAAAUAUCCCUGAUUAUUUUAAAAUUUAGCUUAUAAAAAAUAUAGAGUUAGUUUAAACUUAAGAAAUGGCUCAAAUAUGAUGAAGAUAACAUAUAUUAGCUCAAAUAAGUAAUACACAUACAUAUAUACAUUAAGUCAAGUUAUGAUCUAACCGGUUAAACUAGUAUUUAUUCAAAUUCCACUUACUAAUAUAUGGAUCCAAUUUCUUAAACUAUUAAUGAGUUUAGCUCAAAGGAGCUCACAGAGGCGGUUCCAAUAAAUUAAACUUAUGAGUUAGCCAAACUUGUUAGAAUAAAUGUGUUAAAGUAGUUUUAUAUUUUAUAGUAGAGUAAAAUAUUUUUUACAUAUGUGAGUUGAAUUUAUACUUGAGUUUAAAGUAGAAAAAAGAAAUUACAAUAUUCAUAAAUUUAGUGUGUUGUGUUGAAUUUAUACUUGAGAUUAAAGAAAUUUUUUUUUAUAUAUGUGAUGCCUUGGUGUGAGAUGGAGCAAUUUAUGCCGAGGAGGCAUGAGUUCUUUGAUAAUUGGGAUGUCAAUAAAAGCAUGGAACCAUGAGUUAAGCUUAGGCAUUGACUCUGCAUCAAUAAGGUUGAUGGCCACAACUUCCUCAGCUAUUCCAAUCCAGUAUGGAAGUCACCCAUAGAAAUGUCCGCAAAGCCAAUGUUAUCACCUCCAAAGAAGCGUUCCCUCAAGUCCAACUUCAAGCCUCUUCAGAUUCUCUCGAGCUUCUUCUGCUGCCUUCUGUUGCUCUUCUCCUACCUUGAAAAACGCUGCCACAACCGUUGAAUUUAUACUUGAGAUUAAAGUUUGAAACUGACCCUUUUAUGCGUAUAAAUGGUGUGAAAUUUGUUGCAACAAGUGCAACCCCUACGCAAGAUCCGACAUCGCCGCAACUGCAGAAUAUUUCUAUAGAUGAGUUAUUUCGUGCAAUUGAAGACUUGAGGAGAGAUGUGAAGGAGCUAGGAGAGCUAAAGAAGUCUAUGGAAGAACUAACCAAGGCUUCUGGCAACAUAGAGAGAUCACUCAAGGUGAUGGAGUUUAAGCUGUACCAUAAUGAAGAUAAGUGCAAAGACCAUGAUGAGUACAACACAAACCUACCUCCCAAAGAUUCAGUCAGCAACGUUGAUUUUACUCAGCAAAGUGUAGACAGGAACCCAAUGAUGACACCAGUCGCUGAUCCACCAUUGAGAAAGAGGUUGAGAUGCAGCCCCGCACAACUCGACAAUGAUGUCACCAUUGAUAUCUCUGAUGCCGAAGAUGAUGCCACUAUAUCAGAUAAGCAUGAAUCGGGGUUGUCUCGGGCAUCACAAUCUUCGGACUUGACAGCAUUAAAGGAAAGUGCAUUGUCAACCCUCAACUUAGAACCAAGGCUAAGUCUACAGCUUUCCUUGCCAGCAAUUACUGCAGGACAUUGCCGACUAAGGUUGAAUCCUCAUUGACUCGAGAAAAAUUGCUCACCUCCCCUUCUCCUAAUAUGCGAGUUGCUAAGAUGACAAAGACAGGGGAUGCCACAUUAUUUUUUGUUCCACGUCGACUUCCUGCUCAAUCUGCUGGUGUGCCUUGCCUCCAAGGUGAGAGGUCACUGCCACAAGGCUCUAACUCUAACCAAAUGGAGAAAUCACGUUACUAUAAUGCAAUGAUUAAGGUGACAAUCAUUGAUUACUGGUUUUGAAUGGUCAUAUUCAGACCAUGUGCUAAAAUGUAGCUAAAGUUUGUUCAACUUGAAGGAUUAGCAUAUGCAUUUUGUGCAAGUAUUGAAGAUCCAAGUGAGACCAUGAUUAAUGUGGAUGACACGAUAGUAACUAGGGAAGAACUUGCUUGUCUAGCUCCCGGAAGACCAAUCUCGGACAAGAUAAUCAAGCUUGUAGUAAUGAAGGCCACAUGGAACCAAGCAAAUAAGACUUUUUGGAUGCUUCCGCCAUCUUUUGCGGUGGAACAUUUUAUGAGACAUUCACUGGAUAAAAUGAAUGCUGCCUAUAUAUAUCGCUUUAUGCCUGUCGCACCGGAUCUUAAAUUUGAAGAAGGUGACCACUGGUAUCUUAUGGUCAUUAGCUUAUUGGAUGGAAAAUUAUAUCAGUUUGAUUCUAAUCUAAAUGAUGAUCAAGUUGAGCCAAGACAAGAAAUUAUGAAAUCCUUGGCUUUAAAAUUAUCAGAUAUGGUAACUUCUGGUCAUUACCUAAAAGUCGCGACUCUGGUCUCUGGGUUCUUCAAUGGUUGUCUAUGAGAGAGAAGUUUAAUCCCACAGUGUCGGGCAUUCUAAAUGAGCAAUAUAUCCGUACAUCUGUUGUGGUAGAUCUUUUGUUGGGGAUGUUCAAUGACCACAAAUAUGAGUUUCAGAAGAAGAGCAAUGAGUUCUGGGUUACGCUUUAGCGUGAACAGCAUGGAGAGCAACAUUUUUGCAUAUUCAGUUAUUAUUUUCAAAAUUUGCUUUAAUCCUCAAUUGUGAACGAGAUUAGUGACAUUUAUAAUUUAUUUGUUGAAUUAUUAUUUUAAAGGAGAAAGUUUGUCUGGUCUGAAAACUUUGUUAUAUUAUUAUAUUCAUAAUAAAUACAAAGAU
This is a non-coding RNA of Arachis ipaensis, 3946 nucleotides long. Lineage: Eukaryota; Viridiplantae; Streptophyta; Magnoliopsida; Fabales; Fabaceae. The record is from RefSeq and is a predicted model, not a curated record.